UUGGGAGCUCAUUGGCUUCGGAGUCAUGGGAACUCCGAAGUUAAGCGAGUUGAGGCUAGAGCAAUUCCAGGAUGGGUGACUCACUGGGAAGUUGCUCGUGAGUUCCCAGA
This is a non-coding RNA of Prunus persica (peach), 110 nucleotides long. Lineage: Eukaryota; Viridiplantae; Streptophyta; Magnoliopsida; Rosales; Rosaceae. The record is from Rfam.